UACGUAGGGCGCAAGCGUUGUCCGGAAUUACUGGGCGUAAAGCGUGCGCAGGCGGUUUUGUAAGCCAGAUGUGAAAUCCCCGGGCUUAACCUGGGAAUGGCAUUUGGGACUGCAAGGCUUGAGUGCGGCAGAGGAGACUGGAAUUCCUGGUGUAGCAGUGAAAUGCGUAGAUAUCAGGAGGAACACCGAUGGCGAAGGCAGGUCUCUGGGCUGACACUGACGCUCAUGCACGAAAGCGUGGGGAGCAAACAGG
RNAcentral lists this ribosomal RNA (253 nucleotides) under uncultured bacterium. RNAcentral describes it as "partial 16S ribosomal RNA". It matches the Rfam family "Bacterial small subunit ribosomal RNA", at positions 524 to 776 of the family's 1533-position model. The record is from RNAcentral.